RNAcentral lists this ribosomal RNA (256 nucleotides) under uncultured bacterium. Its description in RNAcentral is "partial 16S ribosomal RNA". It matches the Rfam family "Bacterial small subunit ribosomal RNA", at positions 524 to 777 of the family's 1533-position model. The record is from RNAcentral.
UACGUAGGGGGCAAGCGUUGUCCGGAUUUAUUGGGCGUAAAGAGCGUGUAGGCGGCCUGAAAGGUCAGCUGUGAAAACUCGAGGCUCAACCUCGAGACGUCGGUUGAAACCAUCUGGCUAGAGUCCGGAAGAGGAGAGUGGAAUUCCCGGUGUAGCGGUGAAAUGCGCAGAUAUCGGGAAGAACACCCGUGGCGAAGGCGGCUCUCUGGGACGGUACUGACGCUGAGACGCGAAAAGCGUGGGGGAGCGAACAGGG